UACGUAGGGUGCGAGCGUUGUCCGGAAUUAUUGGGCGUAAAGGGCUCGUAGGCGGUUUGUCGCGUCGGGAGUGAAAACACCGGGCUUAACUCGGUGCUUGCUUUCGAUACGGGCAGACUAGAGGCAUGCAGGGGAGAACGGAAUUCCUGGUGUAGCGGUGAAAUGCGCAGAUAUCAGGAGGAACACCGGUGGCGAAGGCGGGUCUCUGGGCCGAUAUUGACGCUGAGGAGCGAAAGCGUGGGGAGCGAACAGG
This 253-nucleotide ribosomal RNA is filed under the name uncultured bacterium. RNAcentral describes it as "partial 16S ribosomal RNA". It matches the Rfam family "Bacterial small subunit ribosomal RNA", at positions 524 to 776 of the family's 1533-position model. The record is from RNAcentral.